GACUUCGAAAAAUGCAAAUAAGAAUAUAAAUGGACGCUGCUAAAUUGAAUUCAAAUAAAAUUUGCCUAUUGGCCGGCGCGGGGCGUCUCGGAACGCGACUCGAACCUCGGACCUGCUCACGGGGCUGGAUGGAGAGAAGAUUACUAACGACGUUCAAAACAGCGCAUAAACAAAUUGUUGGCCUGAAACUCUGAAGUAAUCUGCAGCCUCAUCUGUUCUUCUAUCUCCAAGAAAAAGACAAUUAUAGCUACAUGAAUAUGACAAAAAGUGCUACCAUAACUAGUUUGCAACGAACGAAUAAGGUGAUUAGAAGUGAUGAGAUGAACAAUAUGAUCCCCUGAUGGUUAGAAUGGUGUUCACUGCGAAGAAGUGUUGCUCAAAAUGCUUGAAAACCCAAAAUUAUGUCGUCACUUUGAGACUAAAAAUGUUAAGUGACUAGUAACUGCACGAUAUGCAAAUCCUAAACAAGUAGUUUCCGGGAUGUUUUGAUCUUAUAUGCUUUAUUUGAAUUAUCUAAAAAAAUCUGGAUUUUUAAUAAUAUUAUUUUGUUGAGUCCUUAAUAAUAAUUAAAAUGUGGAAAAAGA
This is a long non-coding RNA of Leptidea sinapis, 584 nucleotides long. RefSeq lists it as uncharacterized. The record is from RefSeq and is a predicted model, not a curated record. The transcript is spliced from 2 exons. NCBI's taxonomy places the organism in Eukaryota, Metazoa, Arthropoda, Insecta, Lepidoptera, Pieridae.